This 484-nucleotide ribosomal RNA is filed under the name uncultured bacterium. RNAcentral describes it as "partial 16S ribosomal RNA". It matches the Rfam family "Bacterial small subunit ribosomal RNA", at positions 28 to 507 of the family's 1533-position model. The record is from RNAcentral.
AUUGAACGCUGGCGGCAUGCUUUACACAUGCAAGUCGAACGGCAGCGCGGGCUUCGGCCUGGCGGCGAGUGGCGAACGGGUGAGUAAUUCAUCGGAACGUGCCCAGUAGUGGGGGAUAGCCCGGCUAAAGCCGGAUUAAUACCGCAUACGACCUGAGGGUGAAAGCGGGGGACCGAAAGGCCUCGCGCUAUUGGAGCGGCCGAUGUCGGAUUAGCUAGUUGGUGGGGUAAAGGCUUACCAGGGCGACGAUCCGUAGCUGGUCUGAGAGGACGACCAGCCACACUGGGACUGAGACACGGCCCAGACUCCUACGGGAGGCAGCAGUGGGGAAUCUUGGACAAUGGGGGCAACCCUGAUCCAGCCAUGCCGCGUGCGGGAAGAAGGCCUUCGGGUUGUAAAACGCUUUUGUUCGGGAAGAAAUCCUCUGGGCUAAUACCCCGGGGGGAUGACGGUACCGGAAGAAUAAGCACCGGCUAACUACGUG